This 1034-nucleotide ribosomal RNA is filed under the name primary endosymbiont of Bemisia tabaci (Peking). RNAcentral describes it as "bacterial SSU rRNA". It matches the Rfam family "Bacterial small subunit ribosomal RNA", at positions 99 to 1120 of the family's 1533-position model. Lineage: Bacteria; Pseudomonadati; Pseudomonadota; Gammaproteobacteria; Johnevansiales (SeqCode); Johnevansiaceae (SeqCode). The record is from RNAcentral.
CGCACGGGUGAGUAAUACAUGUAAAUAUACCUAAAAGUGGGGAAUAACGUACGGAAACGUACGCUAAUACCGCAUAAUUAUUACGAGAUAAAGCAGGGGCUUGAUAAAAAAAAUCAACCUUGCGCUUUUAGAAAAUUACAUGCCGGAUUAGCUAGUUGGUAGAGUAAAAGCCUACCAAGGUAACGAUCCGUAGCUGGUCUGAGAGGAUGAUCAGCCACACUGGGACUGAGAAAAGGCCCAGACUCCUACGGGAGGCAGCAGUGGGGAAUAUUGGACAAUGGGGGGAACCCUGAUCCAGUCAUGCCGCGUGUGUGAAGAAGGCCCUUUGGUUUGUAAACCACUUUCAGCGAAGAAGAAAAGUUAGGAAAAUAAAAAGUUAUAACUAUGACGGUACUCGCAGAAGAAGCACCGGCUAACUUCCGUGCCAGCAGCCGCGGUAAGACGGAGGGUGCAAGCGUUAAUCAGAAUUACUGGGCGUAAAGGGCAGGUAGGUGGUUUGUUAAGCUUUAUGUGAAAGCCCUAUGCUUAACAUAGGAACGGAAUAAAGAACUGACAAACUAGAGUGCAGAAGAGGAAGGUAGAAUUCCCGGUGUAGCGGUGAAAUGCGUAGAUAUCUGGAGGAAUACCAGUUGCGAAGGCGACCUUCUGGGCUGACACUGACACUGAGAUGCGAAAGCGUGGGGAGCAAACAGGAUUAGAUACCCUGGUAGUCCACGCUGUAAACGAUAUCAACUAGCCGUUGGAUUCUUAAAGAAUUUUGUGGCGUAGCUAACGCGAUAAGUUGAUCGCCUGGGGAGUACGGUCGCAAGGCUAAAACUCAAAUGAAUUGACGGGGGCCCGCACAAGCGGUGGAGCAUGUGGUUUAAUUCGAUGCAACGCGCAAAACCUUACCUACUCUUGACAUCCAAAGUACUUUCCAGAGAUGGAAGGGUGCCUUAGGGAACUUUGAGACAGGUGCUGCAUGGCUGUCGUCAGCUUCGUGUUGUGAAAUGUUGGGUUAAGUCCCGUAACGAGCGCAACCUGUCCUUAGUCCA